AGUUUGAUCAUGGCUCGAUUGAACGCUGGCGGGAUGCUUUACACAGCGUAAAGUCGAACGGCAGCACGGACUUCGGUCUGGUGGCGAGUGGCGAACGGGUGAGUAAUGUAUCGGAACGUGCCUAGUAGCGGGGGAUAACUACGCGAAAGUUGCAGCUAAUACUGCAUACGACUUUCGGGGGAAAGCGGGGACCUUUCGCCUCGCACUAUUAGAGCGGCCGAUAUCGGAUUAGCUAGUUGGUGGGGCACGCUCACCAAGGCGACGAUCCGUAGCUGGUUUGAGAGGACGACCAGCCAGCCGGGACUGAGACACGGCCCAGACUCCUACGGAGGCAGCAGUGGGGAAUUUUGGACAAUGGGGGAAACCCCGAUCCAGCCAUCCCGGCGUGUGCGAUGAAGGCCUCGGGUUGGGGAAGCACUUUUGGCAGGAGAAACAUGGCACGGGCACAGUUCCUGGGCAUAACUGACGGUACCUGGCAGAAUAAGCACCGGCUAACUACGUGCCAGCAGCCGCGGUAAUACGUAGGGUAAGCGUUAAUCGGAAUUACUGGGCGUAAAGCGUGCGCAGGCGGUUCGGAAAGAAAGAUGUGAAAUCCCAGAGCUUAACUUUGGAACUGCAUUUAACUACCGAGCUAGAGUGUGUCAGGAGUGGAGGUGGAAUUCCGCGUGUAGCAGUGAAAUGCGUAGAUAUGCGGAGGAACACCGAUAAGAAGGCAGCCCCUGGGAUAACACUGACGCUCUUCGUACGAAAGCGUGGGGAGCAAACAGGAUUAGAUAAUUCCGGUAGUCCACGCCCUAAACGAUGUCAACUAGCUGUUGGGGCCGGCCUGGUAGCGCAGCUAACGCGCGUGUUGACCGCCUGGGGAGUACGGUCGCAAGAUUAAAACUCAAAGGAAUUGACGGGGACUCCGCACAAGCGGUGGAUGAUGUGAUUAAUUCGAUGUAACGCGAAAAACCUUACCUACUCCUGACAUGUCUGGAAUCCCGGUGAGAUUUUGGAAGUGCUCGCAAGAGAACCGAACACAGGUGCUGCAUGGCUGUCGUCAGCUCAAAAUGUGAGAUGCCGGGUUAAGUCCUGCAACGAAGCGCAACCCUUGUCAUUAGUUGCUACGAAAGGGUACCCUAAUGAGACUGCCGGUGACAAACCGGAGGAAGGUGGGGAUGACGUCAAGUCCUCAUGGCCCUUAUGGGUAGGGCUUCACACGUCAUACAAUGGUCGGGACAGAGGGCUGCCAACCCGCGAGGGGGGAGCCAAUCCCAGAAACCCGAUCGUAGUCCGGAUCGCAGUCUGCAACUCGACUGCGUGAAGUCGGAAUCGCUAGUAAUCGCGGAUCAGCAUGUCGCGGUGAAUACGUUCCCGGGUCUUGUACACACCGCCCGUCACACCAUGGGAGUGGGUUUUACCGGUAAGCAGUUAGUCAACUGCAAGGAGGGCGAUUACCACGGUAGGAUUCAUGACUGGGGUGAAGUCGUAAUAAGCAGGG
This 1483-nucleotide ribosomal RNA is filed under the name uncultured Bordetella sp. Its description in RNAcentral is "partial 16S-23S ribosomal RNA intergenic spacer". It matches the Rfam family "Bacterial small subunit ribosomal RNA". Lineage: Bacteria; Pseudomonadati; Pseudomonadota; Betaproteobacteria; Burkholderiales; Alcaligenaceae. The record is from RNAcentral.